CAUCGUGCUGGGGCCGAUGGCCGGCGUGGCUGGCGCGGAACUGGCGAUUGCCGUGGCGCGCGGCGGUGGCCUCGGUUCGCUGCCGUGCGCGAUGC
Molecule: transfer RNA, 95 nt
Filed under: Ralstonia chuxiongensis
Lineage: Bacteria; Pseudomonadati; Pseudomonadota; Betaproteobacteria; Burkholderiales; Burkholderiaceae
Description: tRNA-Pro
Source: RNAcentral